Molecule: long non-coding RNA, 1174 nt
Organism: Siniperca chuatsi (mandarin fish)
Lineage: Eukaryota; Metazoa; Chordata; Actinopteri; Centrarchiformes; Sinipercidae
Exons: 3
Source: RefSeq, a predicted model, not a curated record
UGUUAAAACGUUUGCUCAUGGCGGAGUGCUGGGUUCAAUAAAUUGUCUGAACUUCCUUCUGUUUACUGACGUGUGAAGAAAUGUAAACAGACACGUUAUCCUGCCAUUUAAUAAAUGAUCGCAUGCUGUAAAUACUUUCAUGGGAAUUUAUUUCUUCUGAAAAGCUCAUGUAACCGCAGCCACUUCAGAUCCUGAUAUGAUGAAGACAAGUGUGAGAGAUGCUUUUAUCCAGCGGGAAGGGCUUCAGCGCGUUACUGAGAGCUAAUUCAACUCGACACGCGGCUGCAGUGAAGAUCAAACCUGUAACCUUUUGGUUACACAAUAAUCUCUUUAGCCCCUGAUCCACAGUCACUUUGUGUUUGUGUACCACUGAGAAUCCAGCUUCCAGUGGAAGAACUAGACCGGUCUGCACAGAGUCCUGACCUCAACCCCAUCCAACAGCUUUGGGAUGAACUGGGACACUGACUGAGAGCCAGACCUGAUCCCCAGCAUCAGUGCUGGACCUCACUGAUGCUCUGCUGUCUGAAUGGAAGCAAAUCCCUGCAGCAGGUCCAACAUCUGGAGGAAAGUCUUCCCACAUACUGUCCACAUACAUUUGGCCACGUACUUUAACUUCCCGUCUAGACUUCCUGUCCGUCACAUACAGUAACAGUGGUGUUACAACAGCCGCUUCAUGCCGCUUCAUGACCCCAAACGAGCCACGUUACCCUGCAAGUCUUGCAUGACACAUCUUGGACGACGGCGGCGUUUCGACACAACUAAAAGGCACUUUCUGCAGACCCACAUGACAAGAUGGAGCUCUAACAGAGUUGCCUAAAGUAGGAGUUAUUUUGGGCGUCCUGAAGUAAAAGUCAGGCUCAUGUUCUCAUAGACAACGUUAGCUGACUGACAGAUGGAUGGUCAUGAAACUCUCCUGGUCUGAAUCAUCAGUAGAAAAGAUGAACCACUGUGUAAGAAAAUCUGGUUCAUUGAUAAAAACAAAAAUAUCAAUGAAAAGUUUUUUUUGUGGAUAUAAAAACUGAAGGCGAGAAGUCAACUACGACUCCCAACGUGCAUUUCAGGAAGAAACAUCACAGAGCUUAAAAUUCUGUUGCAAGCACUGCUAGCCACAGGCAGAAGCUGAAGAUUACACUUUGUAAAAAUCUAAAAUAUUCAGCAUCUUAAACCAGUUCAA